Molecule: transfer RNA, 71 nt
Filed under: Shewanella fodinae
Lineage: Bacteria; Pseudomonadati; Pseudomonadota; Gammaproteobacteria; Alteromonadales; Shewanellaceae
Rfam family: tRNA
About the family: Transfer RNA (tRNA) molecules are approximately 80 nucleotides in length. Their secondary structure includes four short double-helical elements and three loops (D, anti-codon, and T loops).
Source: Rfam by way of RNAcentral
GCGGGUAUCGUAUAAUGGUAAUACUCCAGCCUUCCAAGCUGAUAACGCGGGUUCGAUUCCCGCUACCCGCU